AUCCAGCUGACGAGUCCCAAAUAGGAAUAAAUGUGCAUCCUGGAU
RNAcentral lists this non-coding RNA (45 nucleotides) under Trichobilharzia regenti. The record is from RNAcentral. Lineage: Eukaryota; Metazoa; Platyhelminthes; Trematoda; Strigeidida; Schistosomatidae.